Non-coding RNA from Oncorhynchus mykiss (rainbow trout), 1735 nucleotides. Lineage: Eukaryota; Metazoa; Chordata; Actinopteri; Salmoniformes; Salmonidae. The record is from RefSeq and is a predicted model, not a curated record.
UGGAGAUCUAUUGGCGGAUUGUCUGACUGACCGACUGACUACCACCUUUUUUGUAUACGAUCCCUAAUGAAGUCACAUCUCCCCUACCAUCUCACCUGACUUCCCAUCCUACCCCAGCCACCCAUCCCAGCCCCCCCACCCCACCCCCUUUGGAGGAUAAAGGAGCAAGGAUGCUUGAUAAGGAGCUAGCAGAUGCUACGGUUAUCAAUCCUGCAUCCCAUCCUGCUGAGCAACCGUUUCGCCCACCUGCUUCCAGAGAUUCCUGCUCCUUCAUCCUUUAUCCUGUUUCCUGAUGGUCCAGCUUAGGGGGUCUGAACUAAUAAAACAGAGAUAAUGAAACAGGAUUUUACUGAGCUGAUCAACACCCUAAAAGUCUCUGAAAAGCAUCCAAUUAUCUCUGGUCCUGUGAAGUCGCUGGGUCGCGGCUGUGAAAGGUUCAGCAGAAUCUUAGCACGUCAUAUCUGGUUUAAAGACUACUACCACUCUGUUGGCAUAACUUUUGACAACUGACACCUUUUGGAAACAAAAAAUGCUCUACAGAGAUGAUGGACUCCACCCAAACCAUCUAGGAGCCUGGACCCUCUAUUCAUAUUUCAAGGCUGCAUUAAGAUAUUGACUCAGCCCUGUUCAAGUUGGACAACAUGGGGUUUUGACCCUGGAGGUUGCUCAGCCGCAGUAAACAACAAGCAGUUCACUCUCUCCUGUUGUGGGAUGGGCAGGCAGCACUAGCUGAUUGUCCAGUGAAUACCAUCUUUUCGCUUGACCUCUCUGACAUAUCCCCGGUGGCAUCCUACCAUCUCAGCUUCCUGUCUUACGCCUCUGACCAGUGUUCUCAUACACAUAGAGACACACAGAGACACCAAGGAUGAGAUGUUCUCACCUACCUGCCCUAUGAAAUACAUCGGAGUCAGGGCAUCAGUUAAGCCUACGGAGCUACAGUAACAGUGGACCCUCCAUUUUGUACUUGAUUCUUCCCUAGAGACUUAGAAAACAGCACUAUAAGGUUAGCAAUGCACUGACAGACCUAAUGGUGAUGGGUAAUCUAGAGGGAGGAUAUUUGUCAAGCAAAACCAUGGCAAUAAGAGUGAAGAGGAUUACAUGACAUGCAAGGAUGUUGCUAGAUUAGGUAAGACUGGCUUCUCUACAUUGACAAACAAAAACAUUAGUAAACUAGGCGUGUGUUGUUCUGAGUCGGUAAGCCUGAAGGCUUGGUUUGUUGUGAUGCCAUAAGGCAUAGAGCGAUCUCUUUUUCCAUCCCUUUCCCGCUCUCCCUAGCUCUCUCUUUCUCCCUCUCUCCCUUUAUCCUUAUCACUGCAUUCUCUCCCUUUCUCCAUUUAUCACGCUCUCUUUUUCUCCAUUUCUCUCCUCUCUCUCCAGUUAACCAUGUCACUUGUUAGUCUGUAAUUAUCUGUUGUAACUAAGUACUGAUGUUUCUACCUUUGACCUUUUUAACUGCCACUAUCAAAUGUCCGCCAGUGUUGAAUGUGAUGUUUAAAGUUUUACACCAGACUGGGGCAAGGACACACUGAUAAUGUAUCUGUGACACUAUGAAUCUAUAGCUGCUGAUGUUGUGACUUCCUACAAGCCUCUCGGGCUGGUGUUUACAGAACAUUUGGUGCAGUGUGAUUAAUAUAAAAAGGGCCUUCUCAGAGAACGCCCGUUAGACAUUUUUCUGUUGCAACUUGUAAUUAAAGCAAAAUUAUUUUGAUUGAUAUCAACAACUCCUCUCCUUUUU